AGGGUGCAAGAGGCAUAGUAGUUAGGGGGAAAAAAGAUUGGGCACUACAAUGGUAAUUUUGCCGGAGUACCUGGAUCACGUGGAUACUUCCUUGGAGUGGGGUGAUCUUUUACACAUAUGAUGGCUGUACGCUGCCCAUAUGGGCUGUGUGAUUCCACUGAGCAAAGUUGAAAUAUAGAUGCGCCCAUCAGUUGGAUUGAUUUUUCUGCAUUUUGAACUUCCACUUGGGGAUCAUGGCCCUUCGCGGCUACAAACAACCCACCUACUCGAACUAGAGGAAGACAAUACUCCGCUAAAACUCUCAUUUCCGC
RNAcentral lists this unclassified non-coding RNA (311 nucleotides) under Hevea brasiliensis (rubber tree). The record is from RNAcentral. Lineage: Eukaryota; Viridiplantae; Streptophyta; Magnoliopsida; Malpighiales; Euphorbiaceae.